CGGAGGGUGCAAGCGUUAUCCGGAUUCACUGGGUUUAAAGGGUGCGUAGGUGGGUUGGUAAGUCCGUGGUGAAAUCUCCGAGCUUAACUCGGAAACUGCCGUGGAUACUAUCAAUCUUGAAUAUCGUGGAGGUAAGCGGAAUAUGUCAUGUAGCGGUGAAAUGCUUAGAUAUGACAUAGAACACCGAUAGCGGAGGCAGCUUGCUACACGAUCAUUGACACUGAGGCACGAAAGCGUGGGGAGCAAACAGGAUUAGAUACCCUGGUAGUCCACGCCCUAAACGAUGAUUACUCGACAUACGCGAUACACUGUGUGUGUCUGAGCGAAAGCAUUAAGUAAUCCACCUGGGAAGUACGAUCGCAAGAUUG
This 368-nucleotide ribosomal RNA is filed under the name uncultured organism. Its description in RNAcentral is "bacterial SSU rRNA". It matches the Rfam family "Bacterial small subunit ribosomal RNA", at positions 526 to 896 of the family's 1533-position model. The record is from RNAcentral.